CCUACGGGGGGCUGCAGUGGGGAAUAUUGGACAAUGGGGGGAACCCUGAUCCAGCCAUGCCGCGUGUGUGAAGAAGGCCCUCGGGUUGUAAAGCACUUUCAGUGAGGAAGAACGCCUGGUGGUUAAUACCCAUCAGGAAAGACAUCACUCACAGAAGAAGCACCGGCUAACUCCGUGCCAGCAGCCGCGGUAAUACGGAGGGUGCGAGCGUUAAUCGGAAUUACUGGGCGUAAAGCGCGCGUUGGUGGCUUGAUAAGCCGGUUGUGAAAGCCCCGGGCUCAACCUGGGAACGGCAUCCGGAACUGUCAAGCUAGAGUGCAGGAGAGGAAGGUAGAAUUCCCGGUGUAGCGGUGAAAUGCGUAGAGAUCGGGAGGAAUACCAGUGGCGAAGGCGGCCUUCUGGACUGACACUGACACUGAGGUGCGAAAGCGUGGGUAGCAAACAGGAUUAGAUACCCUGGUAGUC
Molecule: ribosomal RNA, 465 nt
Filed under: Vreelandella stevensii
Lineage: Bacteria; Pseudomonadati; Pseudomonadota; Gammaproteobacteria; Oceanospirillales; Halomonadaceae
Description: partial 16S ribosomal RNA
Rfam family: Bacterial small subunit ribosomal RNA
Source: RNAcentral